Molecule: ribosomal RNA, 880 nt
Filed under: uncultured archaeon
Lineage: Archaea
Description: bacterial SSU rRNA
Rfam family: Archaeal small subunit ribosomal RNA
Source: RNAcentral
GUGGCAGCAGCCGCGGUAAAACCAGCACCUCAAGUGGUCAGGAUGAUUAUUGGGCCUAAAGCAUCCGUAGCCGGCUCUGUAAGUUUUCGGUUAAAUCUAUAUGCUCAACAUAUAGGCUGCCGGAAAUACUGCACAGAUAGGGAGUGGGAGAGGUAGACGGUACUCGGUAGGAAGUGGUAAAAUGCUUUGAUCUAUCGAUGACCACCUGUGGCGAAGGCGGUCUACUAGAACACGUUCGACGGUGAGGGAUGAAAGCUGGGGGAGCAAACCGGAUUAGAUACCCGGGUAGUCCCAGCUGUAAACUAUGCAAACUCGGUGAUGCACUGGCUUGUGGCCAGUGCAGUGCCGCAGGGAAGCCGUUAAGUUUGCCGCCUGGGAAGUACGUACGCAAGUAUGAAACUUAAAGGAAUUGGCGGGGGAGCACCACAAGGGGUGAAGCCUGCGGUUCAAUUGGAGUCAACGCCAGAAAUCUUACCCGGAGAGACAGCAGAAUGAAGGUCAAGCUGAAGACUUUACCAGACAAGCUGAGAGGUGGUGCAUGGCCGUCGUCAGCUCGUGCCGUGAGAUGUCCUGUUAAGUCAGGUAACGAGCGAGAUCCUUGCCUCUAGUUGCCACCAUUACUCUCAGGAGUAGUGGGGCGAAUUAGCGGGACCGCCGUAGUUAAUACGGAGGAAGGAAAGGGCCACGGCAGGUCAGUAUGCCCCGAAACUCUGGGGCCACACGCGGGCUGCAAUGGUAGUGACAAUGGGUUUCGAAUCCGAAAGGAGGAGGUAAUCCUCAAACGCUACCACAGUUAUGACUAAGGGCUGCAACUCGCCCUCACGAAUAUGGAAUCCCUAGUAACUGCGUGUCAUUAUCGCGCGAUGAAUACGUCCCUGCU